Molecule: ribosomal RNA, 461 nt
Filed under: uncultured Bacteroidota bacterium
Lineage: Bacteria; Pseudomonadati; Bacteroidota
Description: bacterial SSU rRNA
Rfam family: Bacterial small subunit ribosomal RNA
Source: RNAcentral
CCUACGGGAGGCUGCAGUGAGGAAUAUUGGUCAAUGGGCGCAAGCCUGAACCAGCCAUCCCGCGUGCAGGAAGACGGCGCUAUGCGUUGUAAACUGCUUUUCCAGGGAGAGAAACUUGCGCACGUGUUGCGCAAUUGACGGUACCCUGGGAAUAAGCAUCGGCUAACUCCGUGCCAGCAGCCGCGGUAAUACGGAGGAUGCGAGCGUUAUCCGGAUUCAUUGGGUUUAAAGGGUGCGUAGGCGGACUAUUAAGUCAGUGGUGAAAUCCUGCAGCUUAACUGCAGAACUGCCAUUGAUACUGAUAGCCUUGAGUUUGGUUAAGGUAGGCGGAAUGUGUAAUGUAGCGGUGAAAUGCUUAGAUAUUACACAGAACACCAAUUGCGUAGGCAGCUUACUGAGCCGACACUGACGCUGAGGCACGAAAGCGUGGGGAUCGAACAGGAUUAGAUACCCCAGUAGUC